RNAcentral lists this ribosomal RNA (465 nucleotides) under uncultured bacterium. RNAcentral's name for it is "partial 16S ribosomal RNA". It matches the Rfam family "Bacterial small subunit ribosomal RNA", at positions 338 to 795 of the family's 1533-position model. The record is from RNAcentral.
CCUACGGGUGGCAGCAGUGGGGAAUAUUGCGCAAUGGGCGAAAGCCUGACGCAGCGCCGCCGCGUGAGGGAUGAAGGUCUUCGGAUCGUAAACCUCUGUCAGCAGGGAAGAACGGUCACUGUGCUAAUCAGCAGUGAAUUGAAGGUACCUGCAAAGGAAGCACCGGCUAACUCCGUGCCAGCAGCCGCGGUAAUACGGAGGGUGCGAGCGUUAAUCGGAAUUACUGGGCAUAAACCGCUCGUAGGCGGUAUGUCAAGUCAAGGGUGAAAUCACCGCGCUCAACGUGGGAACUUCCUUUGAAACUGGCAAACAGGAGUGUGUGAGAGGAUAGUGGAAUUCCAGGUGGAGGAGUGAAAACCGUAGAUAUCUGGAGGAACAUCAGUGGCGAAGGCGACUAUCUGGCACAUAACUGACGCUGAGGAGCGAAAGUGUGUGGAGCAAACAGGAUUAGAUACCCUUGUAGUC